This 444-nucleotide ribosomal RNA is filed under the name Aleiodes sp. BIOUG15430-F10. Its description in RNAcentral is "LSU rRNA". Lineage: Eukaryota; Metazoa; Arthropoda; Insecta; Hymenoptera; Braconidae. The record is from RNAcentral.
CCUGAGAAACCCAAAAGAUCGAAUGGGGAGAUUCAUCGUCAGCUCAUUUUGUAUAUGUAUAAGUUAUGAUGCGGGUUACUACUUGUAGUAUUGCCUGCACAUUCUUGUAUAUUUAGUUGCAAGAUGUUGUCGGCGUGCACUUCUCCCCUAGUAGGACGUCGCGACCUGUUGGGUGUCGGUCUACGGCCCAAGUGAUAGCCUUUAAUGUAAUUCAAAAAAACAUUGAAGAUCCUUGGUGUUUUCUGACCGGCUACUUGGCAGUAUUCGUACGGUAUUUAGCCGCUAAAUUUAUUAAGCGUCCAUAUCCGUCACAAGCGAGGCUAAUUUACUGAUAGUACGGACCUAGUGCCGUCGUUGGUAUUGGCCAGCUGUUGGUUGAUGGUAUUCUAGGACUGGCUAAAAUUAAUUACCGGUCGGCGAUGCUACUGCUUUGGGUACUUUCAG